UAGUCCACACCGUAAACGCUGUCUACUAGCUGUUCGUAUCUCUGAGAUGUGAGUAGCGUAGCUAACGCGCUAAGUAGACCGCCUGGGGAGUACGGCCGCAAGGUUAAAACUCAAAUGAAUUGACGGGGGCCCGCACAAGCGGUGGAGCAUGUGGUUUAAUUCGAUGCAACGCGAAGAACCUUACCUACACUUGACAUGCUGAGAAGUUACCAGAGAUGGUUUCGUGCCUUCGGGAACUCAGACACAGGUGCUGCAUGGCUGUCGUCAGCUCGUGUCGUGAGAUGUUGGGUUAAGUCCCGCAACGAGCGCAACCCUUGUCCUUAGUUGCCAGCCUUUAGUUGGGCACUCUAAGGAGACUGCCGGUGACAAACCGGAGGAAGGUGGGGGACGACGUCAAGUCAUCAUGGCCCUUACGUGUAGGGGCUACACACGUGCUACAAUGGUAAGUACAGAGGGGAAGCGAAACAGCGAUGUGGGAGCGGG
This 483-nucleotide ribosomal RNA is filed under the name uncultured bacterium. RNAcentral describes it as "bacterial SSU rRNA". It matches the Rfam family "Bacterial small subunit ribosomal RNA", at positions 791 to 1271 of the family's 1533-position model. The record is from RNAcentral.